This 433-nucleotide ribosomal RNA is filed under the name uncultured bacterium. Its description in RNAcentral is "partial 16S ribosomal RNA". It matches the Rfam family "Bacterial small subunit ribosomal RNA", at positions 29 to 507 of the family's 1533-position model. The record is from RNAcentral.
AGCGAACGCUGGCGGCAGGCCUAACACAUGCAAGUCGAACGAACUCUUCGGAGUUAGUGGCGGACGGGUGAGUAACACGUGGGAACGUGCCUUUAGGUUCGGAAUAACUCAGGGAAACUUGUGCUAAUACCGAAUGUGCCCUUCGGGGGAAAGAUUUAUCGCCUUUAGAGCGGCCCGUGUCUGAUUAGCUAGUUGGUGAGGUAAAGGCUCACCAAGGCGACGAUCAGUAGCUGGUCUGAGAGGAUGAUCAGCCACAUUGGGACUGAGACACGGCCCAAACUCCUACGGGAGGCAGCAGUGGGGAAUCUUGCGCAAUGGGCGAAAGCCUGACGCAGCCAUGCCGCGUGAAUGAUGAAGGUCUUAGGAUUGUAAAAUUCUUUCACCGGGGACGAUAAUGACGGUACCCGGAGAAGAAGCCCCGGCUAACUUCGUG